UCGAAUGCAACCUCUAAUGAGGCUAUCGCUACACGUGUAACCCACUUUAGUCACUCUGUGCAAGAGGUAUGAGAAGUGUCUGACUUAUACUUAAUUAUGGUCAUUUCAAAGUUGACAGACAAACACGCACUGUAUGAUACUGUGCAAUAGCUGUUAUGUUGGAUGAGAAUGAAGGUCAGCAUAUGAUAGUUCCUCCGGUUCAGCCCGUCAGCCCAUUUUGAUCUCCCCAACACUUUUCCAACCGUUAUUAUUUUUUAAUAUCAUGUGAUUUCUUUUUCAUUCCCCGCUAAAUCUGUGAUUUCCUGCUAAAUUUAGGGCUCACAGUACAUUAGACCUAUUUGAAAAGACUAGAAUGUCUUGUCAUAUCAUGUGCUGAUGUAAUCGUAAAUGCAGAGCAUACAGUACUCCUCAUUUAGUUAAGACUUCAAUUGUUAACCUGGUCUGAGGCUCAAGUCCUUGACCAUUUGCACACCAAUCAAGCACUCUGCCAAUUCAGUUGUAACCAGUGGGUGGUCCAGCAGCUUUGGUCAGCCAAUCUUUGGCGGAAGACUCACUAAAUCAAGUUUGCAUGCUCAAAAGAUCUCAUCUAUCAGUGUAUUUUGUGCCUUCUCAAGCUUUGGUCUAUCAAACAUACACAACAAUUUCAACCGAUCAGCAUUAUGAAGUGAGCAAGCUUGUGCCACAAUGCAGGGGUUUCGCUAAUGUUUUCAGCAGGAGGGCAUCCAGUUUUCACAGAUUCUCCUUUUCAGAUUUCUUCGAGGGAGACGGUUCAAAAGGUGUGUACUAAUUCGUCACGCGGUGACUCUCCAUCCACUUCACUGCCCUGCAACCAUUUCAAGACAAAACAAUAGGUCGCUCAGAGCGAAGAGUCAGCUUUUGGUGGCAGUAUUUCUCUA
This 896-nucleotide unclassified non-coding RNA is filed under the name Stylophora pistillata. Its description in RNAcentral is "uncharacterized LOC111325482, transcript variant X3". Lineage: Eukaryota; Metazoa; Cnidaria; Anthozoa; Scleractinia; Pocilloporidae. The record is from RNAcentral.